UGUGUAGGUGGCGCCGUAAGUCGGGUGUGAAAUUUCGGAGCUUAACUCCGAAACUGCAUUCGAUACUGCGGUGCUUGAGGACUGGAGAGGAGACUGGAGUUCAUGGUGUAGCAGUGAAAUGCGUAGAGAUCAUGAGGAAGACCAGUGGCGAAGGCGGGUCUCUGGACAGUUCCUGACACUGAGACACGAAGGCCAGGGAGCAAACG
Molecule: ribosomal RNA, 206 nt
Filed under: uncultured bacterium
Lineage: Bacteria
Description: partial 16S ribosomal RNA
Rfam family: Bacterial small subunit ribosomal RNA
Source: RNAcentral